UUUAGUAACGUUACAUCUGUUAUAUCCUGGAAGAAAUAGCACAUUUGUCCUUUUCUUAAUUUCGUAUUAUUCAUAGGAUUGAUGAGAUUAGUCAAUGUUGUGUAUGAGAUAUAAAUCUCAACAAAUGAAUUAAAAUAGGCAAUAAGAGAGGUAUAAUGAUACCAAAUCUAUGUUCUUUAAUAAACGUCUUCCUUUUAUCCCAUCUUAAUGGAAAUCGGGAUUUACAAAAGCCUGCUGACAUCAAGCAUUUAUACGAAGGGUUAAACACUGGGCUAUAAAAAAAAUUCCCGUAAGAAAAAUGGUUUUGCUACAAUGGUUUCAACAUUCUCAUUUAAAAUCAGCCUUUUGCAAAUCAUAUGGAUAUUAUAAUGAGUUAUGGUAGUUGUGUAUUAUAUUAACUGUAUGUUAAUGAGUUAUGGUAGUUGUGUAUUGACUAACUGUAUGUUAAUGAGUUAUGGUAGUUGUGUAUCGUGUAACUGUAUGUUAAUGAGUUAUGGUAGUUGUGUAUUGUUUAACUGUGUACUAAUGAGUUAUGGUAGUUGUGUAUUGUUUAACUGUAUGUUAAUGAGUUAUGGUAGUUGUGUAUUAUUUAACUGUAUGUUAAUGAGUUAUGGUAGUUGUGUAUUGUCUAACUGUAUAUUUAUGAGUUAUGGUAGUUGUGUAUUAUUUAACUGUAUGUUAAUGAGUUAUGGUAGUUGUGUAUUGUCUAACUGUAUGUUAAUGAGUUAUGGUAGUUGUGUAUUAUUUAACUGUAUGUUAAUAAGUUAUGGUAGUUGUGUAUUGUCUAACUGUAUAUUUAUGAGUUAUGGUAGUUGUGUAUUAUUUAACUGUAUGUUAAUAAGUUAUGGUAGUUGUGUAUUGUCUAACUGUAUGUUAAGGUAACGACGGAUAGCAACCACGUGAUGAGUAAAAAUUGUGUAUUUUCACGUGAAUUCAUUUUCCGGAAUUCCUUACUCCGUCAUAGAAUAGUCGAAAAACAAAAAGGGGUUCCGAAAGUGUUUUGUUGCUGUGACUGACUCGCCUAGAGAAAAUAUGCACAUACCACAUAAGUAUACGUCAAUAUCUGUAAUGGUAGAUCAAAUGUUUCAUCUGUGUGAAACUUUUUGCUAAUCGAAAUGUUAAACCAACCACCAAUCCAUGUACAUAGAUGCGCUACGUAAACAAAGUUGUUGGUUGAUACAUCGUAAUGUCCGAGUGCAGCAUGCUGCGAGAUUAAAUACUGUUUAUACAGUCAUUGAGAGGCUAAACAAAGUUUCUUGCAAGAAGAGGAAGUUGGUGGAUGUAUUCAACUUGGACAACGAAAUCAUAGUUUCGUUUGGCAUCAGCCUGAAGACCAAGGGAGGUUAGAUAGGACCAGUGCAGGUUGAAGUGGAUUUCGAGUCAACAAGUAUAACAGCAAGAGAGGUACUCCAUUUACAGUGAUGAUGACAUAUCCCCUGGACCCCCACAACUCCACAAAUUUAAAAAUGUUUGAUCAAGUUCAAAGAUUAAAGAACUACUGCAAAAUUUGGGACUUGGAUGAAAAACAUUAAUUCACUUAUAUGAGCUCAGAUCAGUGGAUGUUGUACAACAUACUUUAAACUAAAUUGUGAAUUUAAGGGAAAACAAGUACAUGUACUCGUGUAUUACAUGUACAUGUCUUUUGAAAGACAAUGAUAUUGCAUAAAUUUCAAUGUUGAUUAUUCUUUCUUAGAUAUAUUAGUAAAAAAUGUCCACAUGAUAGA
Molecule: long non-coding RNA, 1724 nt
Organism: Ostrea edulis (European flat oyster)
Lineage: Eukaryota; Metazoa; Mollusca; Bivalvia; Ostreida; Ostreidae
Exons: 3
Source: RefSeq, a predicted model, not a curated record